AACGAACGCUGGCGGCAUGCCUAACACAUGCAAGUCGAACGAGACCUUCGGGUCUAGUGGCUCACGGGUGCGUAACGCGUGGGAACCUGCCCUUAGGUUCGGAAUAACUCCCCGAAAGGGGUGCUAAUACCGGAUAAUGUCUUCGGACCAAAGAUUUCUCGCCUUUGGAUGGGCCCGCGUUGGAUUAGCUAGUUGGUAGGGUAAAAGCCUACCAAGGCGACGAUCCAUAGCUGGUCUGAGAGGAUGAUCAGCCACACUGGGACUGAGACACGGCCCAGACUCCUACGGGAGGGAGCAGUGGGGAAUAUUGGACAAUGGGCGAAAGCCUGAUCCAGCAAUGCCGCGUGAGUGAUGAAGGCCUUAGAGUUGUAAAGCUCUUUUACCCGGGAUGAUAAUGACAGUACCGGGAGAAUAAGCUCCGGCUAACUCCGUG
RNAcentral lists this ribosomal RNA (433 nucleotides) under uncultured bacterium. RNAcentral describes it as "partial 16S ribosomal RNA". It matches the Rfam family "Bacterial small subunit ribosomal RNA", at positions 29 to 507 of the family's 1533-position model. The record is from RNAcentral.